UACGAGGGGGGCGAGCGUUGUUCGGAAUUAUUGGGCGUAAAGGGUGCGUAGGCGGUUUGGUAAGUCUUAUGUGAAAUCUAUGGGCUCAACUCAUAGUCUGCAUGAGAAACUGCCGGGCUUGAGUAUGGGAGAGGUGAGUGGAAUUCCUGGUGUAGCGGUGAAAUGCGUAGAUAUCAGGAGGAACACCGGUGGCGAAGGCGGCUCACUGGCUCAUAACUGACGCUCAUGCACGACAGCGUGGGGAUCAAACAGG
This 253-nucleotide ribosomal RNA is filed under the name uncultured bacterium. Its description in RNAcentral is "partial 16S ribosomal RNA". It matches the Rfam family "Bacterial small subunit ribosomal RNA", at positions 524 to 776 of the family's 1533-position model. The record is from RNAcentral.